GGGAGAGAGACAGUGGAAAGGAGAGGGGAGAGAGACAGUGGAAAGGAGAGGGGAGAGACAGUGGACAGGAGAGGGGAGAGAGACAGUGGACAGGAGAGGGGAGAGAGACAGUGGAAAGGAGAGGGGAGAGAGACAGUGGAAAGGAGAGGUGAGAGACAGUGGAAAGGAGAGGGGUGAGAGACAGUGGACAGGAGAGGAGAGAGAGACAGUGGAAAGGAGAGAGAGAGACAGUGGAAAGGAGAGAGAGAGACAGUGGAAAGGAGAGGGGAGACAGUGGAAAGGAGAGGGGAGAGAGACAUGGAACAGGAGAGGGGAGAGAGACAGUGGAAAGGAGAGGAGAGAAAGACAGUGGACAGGAGAGGAGAGAAAGACAGUGGAAAGGAGAGAGGGAGACAGUGGAAAGGAGAGAGAGAGACAGUGGAAAGGAG
Oncorhynchus tshawytscha (Chinook salmon) is the source of this 428-nucleotide long non-coding RNA. Lineage: Eukaryota; Metazoa; Chordata; Actinopteri; Salmoniformes; Salmonidae. The record is from Ensembl.